GAUGAAGAACGUAGCGAAAUGCGAUAAGUAAUGUGAAUUGCAGAAUUCCGUGAAUCAUCGAAUCUUUGAACGCACAUUGCGCCCCCUGGCAUUCCGGGGGGCAUGCCUGUCCGAGCGUCAUUUCUGCCCUCAAGCACGGCUUGUGUGUUGGGUGUGGUCCCCCCGGGGACCUGCCCGAAAGGCAGCGGCGACGUCCGUCUGGUCCUCGAGCGUAUGGGGCUCUGUCACUCGCUCGGGAAGGACCUGCGGGGGUUGGUCACCACUAUAUUUUACCACGGUUGACCUCGGAUCAGGUAGGAGUUACCCGCUGAACUUAAGCAUAUCAAUAAGCGGAGAA
This 337-nucleotide unclassified non-coding RNA is filed under the name soil metagenome. Its description in RNAcentral is "partial contains 5.8S ribosomal RNA, internal transcribed spacer 2, and large subunit ribosomal RNA". The stretch from base 1 to 120 matches the Rfam family "5.8S ribosomal RNA", at positions 35 to 154 of the family's 154-position model. The record is from RNAcentral.